AGCUCUGAGAGUGUUUAUAGAGCUGUGAGUUUAACACUUCAUGACUGAGAGCAGAACAGAACACAAUCUUCAUCAUCACACAAGACACAACAACAACAAUGAACAACAUCAUCAUCCUCAUCUGGACUCUCACACUGUUUGCUCAAGAGUGUAGAGGACAGUACACUGUAACUCAGAGUCCAUCAUUAAUAACAGCAGCUCAAGGACAAGAAGUCAGAAUAAACUGUAAAACCAGCAGUAGUGUGUGUGGUAGUCACUUACACUGGUACUUACAGAAACCUGGAGAAGCUCCUAGACUGAUGAUAUAUUAUGCAACAAGCCGUUACACUGGAACUCCUUCUAGAUUCAGUGGCAGUGGAUCUGGCAGUGAUUUCACUUUGACCAUCAGUGGAGUCCAGACUGAAGAUACAGGAGAUUAUUACUGUCAGAGUUACCACUGUUCUAGUAGCUAUGUGUUCACAUUCGGUGGAGGAACUAAACUGGUGCUCGCUGGUCCCACAGUGAAGCCCUCAGUGUCUCUGCUGCCGCCCUCUUCUCUGCAGAUCUCUGGAGACUCAGCCGCACUGCUCUGCCUGCUCAGCUCUUACUCUCCACAGGGGGCGCUGGUGAGCUGGACACUGGACGGCUCAGAGGUCACCGAGGGGGUUGUGACCAGCGCAGAGAGCGAGCAGGACGGCCGCUACAGCCGCAGUAGUGUCCUGACCCUCAGCAAAGCACGCUGGGAAGCGGGAGAGCAGUACGUCUGCAGAGUAACACAUGAUGGAGCUCCUCAUGAGGCCUCGUUCCACAAGAGUCGCUGUUAGUCGCUCGCAGUGCUGAUGUUUCUCCAGUGAGCGCUGCUCUCUCCUGAAGAUGAGCGUAUCUGAGUGUCCUGUGUCAGGCAGGAUUCACAUGAGUCUAGUGCUGCAGCUGUAGUCAUUUACAACUCAAUACUGAAAGAGAGCUCUAGUGUCAAAGCACUGGCUGAUCUUUCAAUCUGCUGUGUUUGCUGCAACAUUCAAUAAAGCUUCUCAACAAAC
Non-coding RNA from Carassius gibelio (silver crucian carp), 1019 nucleotides. The record is from the annotation of a RefSeq genome assembly. Lineage: Eukaryota; Metazoa; Chordata; Actinopteri; Cypriniformes; Cyprinidae.